RNAcentral lists this transfer RNA (73 nucleotides) under Bacteroidales bacterium. Its description in RNAcentral is "tRNA-Lys". It matches the Rfam family "tRNA". From Rfam's summary of the family: Transfer RNA (tRNA) molecules are approximately 80 nucleotides in length. Their secondary structure includes four short double-helical elements and three loops (D, anti-codon, and T loops). RNAcentral also lists the same sequence under 1 other name. Lineage: Bacteria; Pseudomonadati; Bacteroidota; Bacteroidia; Bacteroidales. The record is from RNAcentral.
CGGUCCGUAGCUCAGCUGGUAGAGCACCUGACUCUUAAUCAGGGUGUCGAGGGUUCGAGCCCCUCCGGACCGA